UGGUUGGCUCAAGAGGAGGGAAAAAAUGCGGGUCUCCCGUCGUCUCCCCCAUUGGUUCCUCUCCCCAAUCCCCUCCUCGUUCCUCUGUCUCCCCCAAAUCCUCUGUAUCCUCGUCCAAAUCCCGUCGGCCGCCACAGGGUCUCACACUCCGUCGUCGUCCUCCACACCAACGGUCGCCUCGCCGGGCGAGCAGCAACAAGACGCCAUGGGGCGAGCUGUUGACGCGCGGGGGAGAAGCCCAUGAGAGGGUACUCGAGGUAGUCCACCUCCUCCAGGGUGUAGCACGCGGUGGCCUCCACGAAUCACACUCCCUCGCCGGUACAGUCCACCACGAGCUCGCCGACGUCGGACAGCACGAGAAGGACGGCGAUGGGAUAGUAGCUCACCAGCUUGGCAGCCAGAUCCCGCUCAAUGUCCUCGACCGGGGAUUCGGCGGCGUCGUCUCCUGCAGCGCGGCCCUUGAAGACGUGGAGGGACUCUAUGAGGGCGCGCUGCAUCGGGAUAGCGCCGUAGCGGUCGAGCCAGGAGAGCGGGAGCUCGCCGCUGGGCGUGUACGUUGAAGGGGCCUGCCGCGCCCGCUCCAGCAGUCCUUAUGGUGGUGUUUGUGGUGGGCGGAUAUCUGGUUAUUGUGUUGGGGUACUCGCUGGCUAGCUCACCUGGGGAAAGGAAGAGAAUCAGCUGAGUGGCUAUAGGGUGGGCAGGCCGGAGCUGGUUUGUUGAAGAAGAGCCGACAUGGAAUUUAAGAAGAGAGCAGCUAUUACAUCAUUUUUCUAAUCUUCAGCCCAAGGUCAAGAUUCAUCUCUCCAUCUUUUCCGACUACAAUCAACUUAAGAUCUUGGUGAUGGCUUGUCAAUCCAUGGCUGCCUUGUCCUAGGCAAGAAGCAUGCACCGUUCCUGUCAUGACCUUCCUUCGUGCAGAGUCCUCUUCAUGGUUCUUGCAUCCCAUGCAGAUGAUAGGACCUGCCGUGAGGGCGUAGCUAGGGUUCAAGUGAGUUGGUGGCCUGCACGACACCACCACCCUCGAAGUUGCAGUUGCUUGGUUUUGCUGUUGUGCCGAAUCAAGUGGCAGAUGGGCACCAUCAUCCUCUUUCAGGCAAAGAUCAACAUGCUCUUUCCUUUUGGUUUGUUCUCCCAGUUUAGAUAUAUGUUGUCCGCAUACAUAUGUUGUUCCAAUGGCUUGAAGAGGCGUGUAUGGCUAACCAGCGAGAUGUCUGUCCAUGCAUGAUGUCAUUUUGCUCUGAUGAAGCUGCUCUUCCCCUAAGAGUGUCAGUAAUGAUGGGCUUGGGGAAGCUACAGAAGCCAUAAACAGAACACUUACUGAUUCGGAGAUCACUAUCGUCGGAGACAGUGGAACAAAUAGAAUCACCUCCUCUUCCGAUGCUGAUGCUAAAAAAAGGUGACCAGAGAACCAUGUCUACAGGAAUAUGGAAGAGAAAUUAACAUAUGAGAAUACCACAAAAGACAUCUGCAGUAAAAUCUUCUGUUGAUGAUUUUUCAGAAUAUACUCCAUCUGAGUCUGAUUCUAUGGCGUUGGAUAAUGUUCCUAUGCGCUCAAAGGAUUAUGUAUUAUCAGGGCAACACCAUCUUACAGAAAACGAGAGUUGACGAUCUUUAAAUUUUGUUUUUUUGUCCUCAAAGAAGAAAGUAGAAACAUAUCAACGCUCUCUUGAAGAUGGCUCCAUUCUGGUGCUUUCUUCUUCAAAUGUGAGUUCCAUGUCAUAGCUUCACUUUAUCACACUUACCUUAUAUCCUUGUUUUAACAGUAAUACCAAUGUACACUGCUGCAGUUUUGUGAAACAAAUCAAGCGACUGUGAAUGAUUUUUUUAGCUUGAUUUCUCGCAUUCUAUAAUGUGACAUGAUGGUAUUGAAGAUGCAGAAGAGGAGGACUUAGUUUCACAUGGUGUUAUGAGUUAUGACACUAAUCGAGCCAGCGAGCAGCACUCUUAAGAAUUAUAUUUGUGUUCAUCGCUUUUCAGAAAAGCUACAUGUUUAUUGAUGUCAUGCCUGCAAAAUAUUCACUUGACAAACAAAUGCUGAUUUUUAGGCUCUGAACUGACAUUGACAUGCGGGAACUAGGAUUUGAGCUCAUACAUGGUUAAGAACUCAGUAAAUAAUUAGAUGCCCUUAUAGAUUUUUUUGACUAAUAUUUCUUCACCUUAGUUACAGUUUUUUUGUUUCUAUUGUGGUUGUUCCAGCUGUUUUAUGUAGCUUUGACAUAUUGAUGGUCACUUGCAGAACAUCUACACUCUGGUAGUUGUUAAGUAAUGUUUGUCUCUCAUUUACUAUAGAUCCCACAACUUAGUUUAAGGGAAUGAUGGGUGAAGGUGGAGGAGUUGAUGAAGACAAUACUAAAUCCUAUAGGGCAAGGAUUAUUUUUUCACUGGCCAAGGACAAGCUAAGAUGGCUCCAAGGUCAUAUGAGAAGCGCAGUUUGUUUCUGUAGAUUGUGUGAUUUCUCUUUUACUUUCGUUGAUGUCUAACUUGAUGAGCUGGUGAAACAAAUUCGUUGCUAAUUUACGAAUUUCUCUUUGAUUUACCAAAAACCUAAUUUGAUUUUCGUUGCUCUUACUAUAUGAGCUAUUGAGCUGGAGAAAAUCACACAGAGGUGCUUAAGAAAUAUAUGCCAUCUAACUUUAUGUCUUUGAUUUUCAUUGUUUCAGGUUGAGGGCUGCUACGGGCCGUUGCGACUCUUUGUCUUAUACAUAGUUGUCUUUCUUAGAUUUGUUCGCUUUACACCACCCUGUAUCUAUCCAUCCUCUAUGCAUUAUGUUCAUUCACACAUUUAUAUGCUCUAUUUUGAAUCAACUAGACAUAUGCACAUUUUCACCGAUUCGAUCUUGACGUGUUAGUUAUGAAGAGUUACUUUGUUCAAUCUAAAUAUCCUCUUGCAUUUUGUGUAGCGAUGACAAGACUGUUAUCGUCUGAUCUGUCAAGAGAGACUUGCUCCAGGAAUCACCACCUUGGAUUGCGUCUAAAGGUGUGCUUGGGGUGCUACCUCCGGUUGAGUUUGAAGAGGUGAUUCUUUUUUGCACAUUAAACACGCGCGUGAUAGAAUAUAAUUUCAGUGCAAUACAAUGUUCAUGGUCAAAUGAUAUUCGGUAUGAAACAAGAUGGUCAGAUAAAUAUCACUUUGCAAAUUUGAUUCCCAAUGGAGAAACCAAAUAUGCAUGAAGCAAAGAUUAAGGAGAAAUGUCAGAUAAAUAUCACUUUGCAAAUUUGAUUCCCAAUGGAGAAACCAAAUAUGUAUGAAGCAAAGAUUAAGGAGAAAUCGAGGACAACAUAAGCCACUUCUGUAUAACAACUGAAUAGCUGGUUAUAUAUAAGUUGUCGUACUCAAACGAUGAUUUAGUAUUGGUUUCUACCUCACUCUAUAAGCUUAAUAGAAAGUGUUUGACAUAAUAUUCGUCGGUGCUAAAGAAGGGCCACGUGCCAAGGUGUGACCCUAAAUGUAAUAGAGCCCGCUAUCAUAGUAGAAAAGCAUAAGACACGAUGAUUCUAUCCAUGUAUCUGUCUAUGGUAUUGCUCACCUAUUUAGUACACUUGCUUUGCUGCUAUGUUUAUAGUUUCGUUUGAUUUAUCCUGAUUAACCUACUAGCAUCGUUUUGUGAAACCUAAAAAAUUUAGUUUCAUAUUGGUAGUUAAUUUUUAUCGCUGUUAGACAAAAUAUACAUUGGCACGAGCUCCACGGGACCGUGCGCCAAGGCGCACAUCUAAAUCUAGUGCAAUUGUAAUUUACCUCGGCUAAACUAAGCCAUGGAUGCAUAUGCAAAACCAUACCAAUGUGGCCUCGUAGAAUUGUGUUAAUAUUGAUGUUAUAUGAAAUAUGUGGAUUCUAUCGUUA
Long non-coding RNA from Lolium perenne, 3841 nucleotides. RefSeq lists it as uncharacterized. The record is from RefSeq and is a predicted model, not a curated record. Lineage: Eukaryota; Viridiplantae; Streptophyta; Magnoliopsida; Poales; Poaceae.